Molecule: non-coding RNA, 45 nt
Filed under: Schistosoma haematobium
Lineage: Eukaryota; Metazoa; Platyhelminthes; Trematoda; Strigeidida; Schistosomatidae
Also listed under: 1 other name
Source: RNAcentral
AUCCAGCUGACGUGUCCCAAAUAGGAAGAGACGCGCAUCCUGUAU